This 2631-nucleotide ribosomal RNA is filed under the name Shigella sonnei. RNAcentral's name for it is "partial 23S ribosomal RNA". It matches the Rfam family "Bacterial large subunit ribosomal RNA", at positions 289 to 2909 of the family's 2925-position model. Lineage: Bacteria; Pseudomonadati; Pseudomonadota; Gammaproteobacteria; Enterobacterales; Enterobacteriaceae. The record is from RNAcentral.
GGGGAGGAGCCCAGAGCCUGAAUCAGUGUGUGUGUUAGUGGAAGCGUCUGGAAAGGCGCGCGAUACAGGGUGACAGCCCCGUACACAAAAAUACACAUAUUGUGAGCUCGAUGAGUAGGGCGGGACACGUGGUAUCCUGUCUGAAUAUGGGGGGACCAUCCUCCAAGGCUAAAUACUCCUGACUGACCGAUAGUGAACCAGUACCGUGAGGGAAAGGCGAAAAGAACCCCGGCGAGGGGAGUGAAAAAGAACCUGAAACCGUGUACGUACAAGCAGUGGGAGCACGCUUAGGCGUGUGACUGCGUACCUUUUGUAUAAUGGGUCAGCGACUUAUAUUCUGUAGCAAGGUUAACCGAAUAGGGGAGCCGAAGGGAAACCGAGUCUUAACUGGGCGUUAAGUUGCAGGGUAUAGACCCGAAACCCGGUGAUCUAGCCAUGGGCAGGUUGAAGGUUGGGUAACACUAACUGGAGGACCGAACCGACUAAUGUUGAAAAAUUAGCGGAUGACUUGUGGCUGGGGGUGAAAGGCCAAUCAAACCGGGAGAUAGCUGGUUCUCCCCGAAAGCUAUUUAGGUAGCGCCUCGUGAAUUCAUCUCCGGGGGUAGAGCACUGUUUCGGCAAGGGGGUCAUCCCGACUUACCAACCCGAUGCAAACUGCGAAUACCGGAGAAUGUUAUCACGGGAGACACACGGCGGGUGCUAACGUCCGUCGUGAAGAGGGAAACAACCCAGACCGCCAGCUAAGGUCCCAAAGUCAUGGUUAAGUGGGAAACGAUGUGGGAAGGCCCAGACAGCCAGGAUGUUGGCUUAGAAGCAGCCAUCAUUUAAAGAAAGCGUAAUAGCUCACUGGUCGAGUCGGCCUGCGCGGAAGAUGUAACGGGGCUAAACCAUGCACCGAAGCUGCGGCAGCGACGCUUAUGCGUUGUUGGGUAGGGGAGCGUUCUGUAAGCCUGCGAAGGUGUGCUGUGAGGCAUGCUGGAGGUAUCAGAAGUGCGAAUGCUGACAUAAGUAACGAUAAAGCGGGUGAAAAGCCCGCUCGCCGGAAGACCAAGGGUUCCUGUCCAACGUUAAUCGGGGCAGGGUGAGUCGACCCCUAAGGCGAGGCCGAAAGGCGUAGUCGAUGGGAAACAGGUUAAUAUUCCUGUACUUGGUGUUACUGCGAAGGGGGGACGGAGAAGGCUAUGUUGGCCGGGCGACGGUUGUCCCGGUUUAAGCGUGUAGGCUGGUUUUCCAGGCAAAUCCGGAAAAUCAAGGCUGAGGCGUGAUGACGAGGCACUACGGUGCUGAAGCAACAAAUGCCCUGCUUCCAGGAAAAGCCUCUAAGCAUCAGGUAACAUCAAAUCGUACCCCAAACCGACACAGGUGGUCAGGUAGAGAAUACCAAGGCGCUUGAGAGAACUCGGGUGAAGGAACUAGGCAAAAUGGUGCCGUAACUUCGGGAGAAGGCACGCUGAUAUGUAGGUGAAGUCCCUUGCGGAUGGAGCUGAAAUCAGUCGAAGAUACCAGCUGGCUGCAACUGUUUAUUAAAAACACAGCACUGUGCAAACACGAAAGUGGACGUAUACGGUGUGACGCCUGCCCGGUGCCGGAAGGUUAAUUGAUGGGGUCAGCGCAAGCGAAGCUCUUGAUCGAAGCCCCGGUAAACGGCGGCCGUAACUAUAACGGUCCUAAGGUAGCGAAAUUCCUUGUCGGGUAAGUUCCGACCUGCACGAAUGGCGUAAUGAUGGCCAGGCUGUCUCCACCCGAGACUCAGUGAAAUUGAACUCGCUGUGAAGAUGCAGUGUACCCGCGGCAAGACGGAAAGACCCCGUGAACCUUUACUAUAGCUUGACACUGAACAUUGAGCCUUGAUGUGUAGGAUAGGUGGGAGGCUUUGAAGUGUGGACGCCAGUCUGCAUGGAGCCGGCCUUGAAAUACCACCCUUUAAUGUUUGAUGUUCUAACGUGGACCCGUGAUCCGGGUUGCGGACAGUGUCUGGUGGGUAGUUUGACUGGGGCGGUCUCCUCCUAAAGAGUAACGGAGGAGCACGAAGGUUGGCUAAUCCUGGUCGGACAUCAGGAGGUUAGUGCAAUGGCAUAAGCCAGCUUGACUGCGAGCGUGACGGCGCGAGCAGGUGCGAAAGCAGGUCAUAGUGAUCCGGUGGUUCUGAAUGGAAGGGCCAUCGCUCAACGGAUAAAAGGUACUCCGGGGAUAACAGGCUGAUACCGCCCAAGAGUUCAUAUCGACGGCGGUGUUUGGCACCUCGAUGUCGGCUCAUCACAUCCUGGGGCUGAAGUAGGUCCCAAGGGUAUGGCUGUUCGCCAUUUAAAGUGGUACGCGAGCUGGGUUUAGAACGUCGUGAGACAGUUCGGUCCCUAUCUGCCGUGGGCGCUGGAGAACUGAGGGGGGCUGCUCCUAGUACGAGAGGACCGGAGUGGACGCAUCACUGGUGUUCGGGUUGUCAUGCCAAUGGCACUGCCCGGUAGCUAAAUGCGGAAGAGAUAAGUGCUGAAAGCAUCUAAGCACGAAACUUGCCCCGAGAUGAGUUCUCCCUGACCCUUUAAGGGUCCUGAAGGAACGUUGAAGACGACGACGUUGAUAGGCCGGGUGUGUAAGCGCAGCGAUGCGUUGAGCUAACCGGUACUAAUGAAC